RNAcentral lists this ribosomal RNA (651 nucleotides) under Acinetobacter lwoffii. RNAcentral's name for it is "bacterial SSU rRNA". It matches the Rfam family "Bacterial small subunit ribosomal RNA", at positions 202 to 835 of the family's 1533-position model. Lineage: Bacteria; Pseudomonadati; Pseudomonadota; Gammaproteobacteria; Moraxellales; Moraxellaceae. The record is from RNAcentral.
AAGCAGGGGACCUUCGGGCCUUGCGCUAAUAGAUGAGCCUAAGUCGGAUUAGCUAGUUGGUGGGGUAAAGGCCUACCAAGGCGACGAUCUGUAGCGGGUCUGAGAGGAUGAUCCGCCACACUGGGACUGAGACACGGCCCAGACUCCUACGGGAGGCAGCAGUGGGGAAUAUUGGACAAUGGGGGGAACCCUGAUCCAGCCAUGCCGCGUGUGUGAAGAAGGCCUUUUGGUUGUAAAGCACUUUAAGCGAGGAGGAGGCUACCGAGAUUAAUACUCUUGGAUAGUGGACGUUACUCGCAGAAUAAGCACCGGCUAACUCUGUGCCAGCAGCCGCGGUAAUACAGAGGGUGCAAGCGUUAAUCGGAUUUACUGGGCGUAAAGCGCGCGUAGGUGGCCAAUUAAGUCAAAUGUGAAAUCCCCGAGCUUAACUUGGGAAUUGCAUUCGAUACUGGUUGGCUAGAGUAUGGGAGAGGAUGGUAGAAUUCCAGGUGUAGCGGUGAAAUGCGUAGAGAUCUGGAGGAAUACCGAUGGCGAAGGCAGCCAUCUGGCCUAAUACUGACACUGAGGUGCGAAAGCAUGGGGAGCAAACAGGAUUAGAUACCCUGGUAGUCCAUGCCGUAAACGAUGUCUACUAGCCGUUGGGGCCUUUGA